Long non-coding RNA from Sapajus apella (tufted capuchin), 244 nucleotides. RefSeq lists it as uncharacterized. The transcript has 3 exons. Lineage: Eukaryota; Metazoa; Chordata; Mammalia; Primates; Cebidae. The record is from RefSeq and is a predicted model, not a curated record.
UAAAGAAAUACAAUAAAUAAGAUCUAGUAUUUGAUACCACAACAGGGUGACUACAGUCAGUAACAAUUUGUUGUACAUUUAGAAAUAACUAAAAUAGUAUAAUUGGAAUGUAUUUAGCAUAAAGCAGCGAUAAAUGCUUGAGGUGAUAGAUACCCAUUUACCGUGAUAUGAUUAUUUUUUAUUUUUAUUUUUUUUGAGAUGAGCUCGCACUGUCGCCCAGGCUGGAGUGCAGUGGCACAAUCUC